GAUGAACGCUGGCGGCGUGCUUAACACAUGCAAGUCGAACGGAAGGGCUCCUGCUUGCAGGGGUACUCGAGUGGCGAACGGGUGAGUAACACGUGGGUGAUCUGCCCUGCACUUCGGGAUAAGCCUGGGAAACUGGGUCUAAUACCGGAUAGGACCACAUUUUGGAUGGUGUGGUGGAAAGUUUUUCGGUGUGGGAUGAGCUCGCGGCCUAUCAGCUUGUUGGUGGGGUAAUGGCCUACCAAGGCGUCGACGGGUAGCCGGCCUGAGAGGGUGUACGGCCACAUUGGGACUGAGAUACGGCCCAGACUCCUACGGGAGGCAGCAGUGGGGAAUAUUGCACAAUGGGCGCAAGCCUGAUGCAGCGACGCCGCGUGGGGGAUGACGGCCUUCGGGUUGUAAACUCCUUUCGCUAGGGACGAAGCGCAAGUGACGGUACCUGGAGAAGAAGCACCGGCUAACUACGUG
Molecule: ribosomal RNA, 465 nt
Filed under: uncultured bacterium
Lineage: Bacteria
Description: partial 16S ribosomal RNA
Rfam family: Bacterial small subunit ribosomal RNA
Source: RNAcentral